GCAUAGCUCAGUCAGUAGAGCAUGAGACUCUAGUUUUAGGGUCAUGGGUUCAAGCCCCACAUUGGACA
This is a non-coding RNA of Podarcis lilfordi (Lilford's wall lizard), 68 nucleotides long. Lineage: Eukaryota; Metazoa; Chordata; Lepidosauria; Squamata; Lacertidae. The record is from the annotation of a GenBank genome assembly.